CACGUAAGGGGCAAGCGUUGUUCGGAAUUAUUGGGCGUAAAGGGUGCGUAGGCGGUUUUGCAAGCCUGGCGUGAAAUCCUGGGGCUUAACCCCAGAACUGCGUUGGGAACUGCGAGACUAGAGUCAUGGAAGGGGAGUUGGAAUUCCAGGUGUAGGGGUGAAAUCUGUAGAUAUCUGGAAGAACACCGGUGGCGAAGGCGAACUUCUGGCCAAUGACUGACGCUGAGGCACGAAAGUGCGGGGAGCAAACAGGAUUAGAUACCCUGGUAGUCCGCACCAUAAACGAUGUACACUAGGUGUUGGGCCGAGCGGCUCAGUGCCGAAGCUAACGUGAUAAGUGUACCGCCUGGGGAGUAUGCUCGCAAGGGUGAA
Molecule: ribosomal RNA, 372 nt
Filed under: uncultured bacterium
Lineage: Bacteria
Description: bacterial SSU rRNA
Rfam family: Bacterial small subunit ribosomal RNA
Source: RNAcentral